Molecule: ribosomal RNA, 496 nt
Filed under: uncultured bacterium
Lineage: Bacteria
Description: partial 16S ribosomal RNA
Rfam family: Bacterial small subunit ribosomal RNA
Source: RNAcentral
GAUGAACGCUGGCGGCGUGCCUAAUACAUGCAAGUCGAGCGAACGGACGAGAAGCUUGCUUCUCUGAUGUUAGCGGCGGACGGGUGAGUAACACGUGGAUAACCUACCUAUAAGACUGGGAUAACUUCGGGAAACCGUAGCUAAUACCGGAUAAUAUUUUGAACCGCAUGGUUCAAAAGUGAAAGACGGUCUUGCUGUCACUUAUAGAUGGAUCCGCGCUGCAUUAGCUAGUUGGUAAGGUAACGGCUUACCAAGGCAACGAUGCAUAGCCGACCUGAGAGGGUGAUCGGCCACACUGGAACUGAGACACGGUCCAGACUCCUACGGGAGGCAGCAGUAGGGAAUCUUCCGCAGUGGGCGAAAGCCUGACGGAGCAACGCCGCGUGAGUGAUGAAGGUCUUCGGAUCGUAAAACUCUGUUAUUAGGGAAGAACAGAUGUGUAAGUAACUGUGCACAUCUUGACGGUACCUAAGCAGAAAGCCACGGCUAACUACGU